This 494-nucleotide ribosomal RNA is filed under the name uncultured bacterium. Its description in RNAcentral is "partial 16S ribosomal RNA". It matches the Rfam family "Bacterial small subunit ribosomal RNA", at positions 28 to 507 of the family's 1533-position model. The record is from RNAcentral.
GACGAACGCUGGCGGCGCGCUUAACACAUGCAAGUCGAACGGAAAGGCCUGCUUUCCCUUGUGUAUUGCGGGUACUCGAGUGGCGAACGGGUGAGUAACACGUGAGUGAUCUUCCCCCAACUUGGGUAUAAGCCUGGGAAACUGGGUCUAAUUCCCGAUAGGACUGCAGGGUGGUGCCUGUGGUGGAAAACGAUUUUCUAGUGGUUGGGGAUGAGCUCGCGGCCUAUCAGCUUGUUGGUGGGGUAAUGGCCUACCAAGGCGGCGACGGGUAGCCGGCCUGGGAGGGUGGACGGCCACAGGGGGACGGAGACACGGCCCAGACGACUACGGGAGGAAGCCGAGGGGAAGAUUGCACAAUGGGCGGAAGCCUGAGGCAGCGACGCUGAGUGGGGGAUGACGGGCGUCGGGUUGUAAACUCCUGGCGACAGCGAGGAAGCCACCUGGUUGGAAGGGUGGUGACGGUAGUGGUAGAAGAAGCACCGGCUAACUACGUG